CCUACGGGCGGCUGCAGUGGGGAAUAUUGGACAAUGGGCGAAAGCCUGAUCCAGCCAUGCCGCGUGUGUGAAGAAGGCCUUCGGGUUGUAAAGCACUUUCAGUGGGGAAGAAAGCCUUGGGGCUAAUACCCUCGAGGAAGGACAUCACCCACAGAAGAAGCACCGGCUAACUCCGUGCCAGCAGCCGCGGUAAUACGGAGGGUGCGAGCGUUAAUCGGAAUUACUGGGCGUAAAGCGCGCGUAGGCGGUCUGAUAAGCCGGUUGUGAAAGCCCCGGGCUCAACCUGGGAACGGCAUCCGGAACUGUCAGGCUAGAGUGCAGGAGAGGAAGGUAGAAUUCCCGGUGUAGCGGUGAAAUGCGUAGAGAUCGGGAGGAAUACCAGUGGCGAAGGCGGCCUUCUGGACUGACACUGACGCUGAGGUGCGAAAGCGUGGGUGGCAAACAGGAUUAGAUACCCUAGUAGUC
Molecule: ribosomal RNA, 465 nt
Filed under: Vreelandella stevensii
Lineage: Bacteria; Pseudomonadati; Pseudomonadota; Gammaproteobacteria; Oceanospirillales; Halomonadaceae
Description: partial 16S ribosomal RNA
Rfam family: Bacterial small subunit ribosomal RNA
Source: RNAcentral